AAGGAGCAACCUCUGUUGAUGCAUAUUUCCCUGCUGGAAACUGGUUUGACCUCUUCAAUUACUCUCGCUUCGUGAGUUUGAAUCAAGGAACAUAUCUGACACUUGACGCACCACCAGAUCAUAUAAAUGUACACGUUCGUGAAGGGAACAUAUUGGUCAUGCAAGGGGAAGCAAUGACAACACAAGCUGCACAGAGGACUGCAUUCAAACUCCUUGUCGUGCUGAGCAGCAGCGAAAACAGCACAGGAGAACUAUUUGUGGACGAUGACGAUGAGGUGCAGAUGGGAAGAGAGGGAGGGAGGUGGACGUUCG
Molecule: unclassified non-coding RNA, 312 nt
Filed under: Hevea brasiliensis (rubber tree)
Lineage: Eukaryota; Viridiplantae; Streptophyta; Magnoliopsida; Malpighiales; Euphorbiaceae
Source: RNAcentral